This 1324-nucleotide ribosomal RNA is filed under the name Staphylococcus capitis. Its description in RNAcentral is "partial 23S ribosomal RNA". It matches the Rfam family "Bacterial large subunit ribosomal RNA", at positions 1 to 1326 of the family's 2925-position model. Lineage: Bacteria; Bacillati; Bacillota; Bacilli; Caryophanales; Staphylococcaceae. The record is from RNAcentral.
AGAUUAAGUUAUUAAGGGCGCACGGUGGAUGCCUUGGCACUAGAAGCCGAAGAAGGACGUUACUAACGACGAUAUGCUUUGGGUAGCUGUAAGUAAGCGUUGAUCCAGAGAUUUCCGAAUGGGGGAACCCAACAUGAGUUAUGUCAUGUUAUCGACAUGUGAAUUCAUAGCAUGUCAGAAGGCAGACCCGGAGAACUGAAACAUCUUAGUACCCGGAGGAAGAGAAAGAAAAAUCGAUUCCCUGAGUAGCGGCGAGCGAAACGGGAAGAGCCCAAACCAACAAGCUUGCUUGUUGGGGUUGUAGGACACUCUAUACGGAGUUACAAAAGAACAUGUUAGACGAAUCAUCUGGAAAGAUGAAUCAAAGAAGGUAAUAAUCCUGUAGUCGAAAACAUAUUCUCUCUUGAGUGGAUCCUGAGUACGACGGAGCACGUGAAAUUCCGUCGGAAUCUAGGAGGACCAUCUCCUAAGGCUAAAUACUCUCUAGUGACCGAUAGUGAACCAGUACCGUGAGGGAAAGGUGAAAAGUACCCCGGAAGGGGAGUGAAAGAGAACUUGAAACCGUGUGCUUACAAGUAGUCAGAGCCCGUUUAUGGGUGAUGGCGUGCCUUUUGUAGAAUGAACCGGCGAGUUACGAUCUGAUGCAAGGUUAAGCAGCGAAUGUGGAGCCGUAGCGAAAGCGAGUCUGAAUAGGGCGUUGAGUAUUUGGUCGUAGACCCGAAACCAGGUGAUCUACCCUUGGUCAGGUUGAAGUUCAGGUAACACUGAAUGGAGGACCGAACCGACUUACGUUGAAAAGUGAGCGGAUGAACUGAGGGUAGCGGAGAAAUUCCAAUCGAACUUGGAGAUAGCUGGUUCUCUCCGAAAUAGCUUUAGGGCUAGCCUCAAGUGAUGAUUAUUGGAGGUAGAGCACUGUUUGGACGAGGGGCCCCUCUCGGGUUACCGAAUUCAGACAAACUCCGAAUGCCAAUCAAUUUAACUUGGGAGUCAGAACAUGGGUGAUAAGGUCCGUGUUCGAAAGGGAAACAGCCCAGACCACCAGCUAAGGUCCCAAAAUAUAUGUUAAGUGGAAAAGGAUGUGGCGUUGCCCAGACAACUAGGAUGUUGGCUUAGAAGCAGCCAUCAUUUAAAGAGUGCGUAAUAGCUCACUAGUCGAGUGACACUGCGCCGAAAAUGUACCGGGGCUAAACAUAUUACCGAAGCUGUGGAUUGUCCUUCGGACAAUGGUAGGAGAGCGUUCUAAGGGCGUUGAAGCAUGAUCGCAAGGACAUGUGGAGCGCUUAGAAGUGAGAAUGCCGGUGUGAGUAGCGAAAGACGGGUGAGA